UCCGAGUUGACCCCGGCAGUCUCCUACGAGUCCCCGGCAUUACCCGCUGGCAACAUAGGACAAGGGUUGCGCUCGUUGCGGGACUUAACCCAACACCUCACGGCACGAGCUGACGACAGCCAUGCAGCAUCUGUGCACGCUCCCUUGCGGGUCCCUUCCCUUUCAGGUCGGUACCACGUGCAUGUCAAGCCCAGGUAAGGUUCUUCGCGUUGCAUCGAAUUAAACCACACGCUCCGCUGCUUGUGCGAGCCCCCGUCAAUUCCUUUGAGUUUUAGCCUUGCGGCCGUACUCCCCAGGCGGGGUGCUUAAUGCGUUAGCUUCGGCACAGAGGGGGUUGAUGCCCCCCACACCUAGCACCCAACGUUUACGGCUGGGACUAC
RNAcentral lists this unclassified non-coding RNA (380 nucleotides) under uncultured bacterium. RNAcentral describes it as "contains 16S-23S intergenic spacer region". The record is from RNAcentral.